UACGGGGGGGGCAAGCGUUGUUCGGAAUUACUGGGCGUAAAGGGCUCGUAGGUGGCCAACUAAGUCAGACGUGAAAUCCCUCGGCUUAACCGGAGAACUGCGUCUGAUACUGGAUGGCUUGAGUUCGGGAGGGGGAUGCGGAAUUCCAGGUGUAGCGGUGAAAUGCGUAGAUAUCUGGAGGAAUACCGGUGGCGAAGGCGGCAUCCUGGACCGACAUUGACGCUGAACGGCGAAAGCUAGGGGAGCAAACGGG
This 253-nucleotide ribosomal RNA is filed under the name uncultured bacterium. RNAcentral's name for it is "partial 16S ribosomal RNA". It matches the Rfam family "Bacterial small subunit ribosomal RNA", at positions 524 to 776 of the family's 1533-position model. The record is from RNAcentral.